RNAcentral lists this unclassified non-coding RNA (795 nucleotides) under Hevea brasiliensis (rubber tree). Lineage: Eukaryota; Viridiplantae; Streptophyta; Magnoliopsida; Malpighiales; Euphorbiaceae. The record is from RNAcentral.
AAGUCAGGUUUUUCAGAUCUUCUUUUUCUUCUUCUUCUUUCUCUUUUUUUCCAGUUUGCAUUCUGUGAUUGCAUGGGCGUGGAUGGCCUUCAUGAGGUGCGUUCCCCGGGCCUAGGUGCACUGGGGUGCGCCUCCUUGAGGUCGUGUGGCUUUGGGUUCCUCAGGCACUAUGGGCUAUGCCUCAGGGGCGCCUUUGAUAACAGUGAUGUUUUAUACUUUCUCCUUCUGGUUACAGGUUUUAUUGAAUAUCCAUAAAACAAAGAACAACCCCAGUUAUUUUGAUGAUGGAAUUGUGGGGCUUUGUCAUGAAAAGUUCCUGAGGCUUACAUCAUAUGAUGUUUAUGAAAAAAGUUUCAAGGAUAUGUACAUGUACUUAUUCUGUAUGUUUUAUCAUUUCAACUUCUGUUAUUCUCCCUCUCCCACCUUUAUUCCAAGAAAUUAGAGCUGACAGCUGCUCUGCUUACUAGCCCACGUUCCAGAAUUCAAGACUGUUUAGCUACCAGAGAGUUAGCAAAGAUUUCUAGAUCUAGAAUUAAUUCUCUUAACAGAAAAUUAGAUGACAUGUGAAGAGAAAGUAGGUCUGCCUUAAUCACUUUCAGUUGUGAAGUUACAAAGGAGAUCUCCUUGGGAAACAAUACUCGGUUGUUUAGAUUGUAAUCAGCGUUAUCCUCAUUAACUUACAAUUUCUGUUAUUCUUAUGAACUUAUGUAAUCUUCUUUUAUUCAGGUUGAGAUCGUAAUGGGACUCGAGGAGGAAUUUGGAAUCAGCGUGGAAGAAGAAACAGCCCAGAGUAUU